AACGAACGCUGGCGGCGUGCCUAACACAUGCAAGUCGAGCGCGAACGACCCCUUCGGGGGACUAGUAGAGCGGCGGACGGGUGAGUAAUACAUGGAUAAUCUCCCUUCGAGCCCGGGAUAACAGCGCGAAAGUGCUGCUAAUACCGGAUAAGACCACGAGGCCCAGGCCUUGCGGGAAAAGGUGGCUUUGUUUUCGGAUGAGGCUAUCACUUGAUGAUGAGUCCAUGGCCUAUCAGCUUGUUGGCGAGGUAACGGCUCACCAAGGCAAUGACGGGUAGCUGGUCUGAGAGGACGACCAGCCACACUGGGACUGAGACACGGCCCAGACUCCUACGGGAGGCAGCAGUGGGGAAUAUUGGGCAAUGGGCGAAAGCCUGACCCAGCGACGCCGUGUGGGUGA
RNAcentral lists this ribosomal RNA (400 nucleotides) under uncultured bacterium. Its description in RNAcentral is "bacterial SSU rRNA". It matches the Rfam family "Bacterial small subunit ribosomal RNA", at positions 29 to 408 of the family's 1533-position model. The record is from RNAcentral.